GGACGCUUGCUAUGUGACGCCACUUGGAAGGGACCCAGUAAGGGAUCUGUUGCGCCACAGGGGUCUCCAGGGCCCUCGCAGGUUGGGGUGGUCUGAGCUAGUCUGAAGGAGGACAGUCAGCUGACUUCUCCUUUAUCUCUCUUUCCCAGGAUAGCAGGUUCCCUUGGUGUAUUACAGUUUCUGAAGUGUUGAUUCCCUUUUCAAUUGAUUCCACAGAUGACAGUCCUGACGUUUAAAAAAUUGCCAGAUAACCUUUAAUUUUUUUUUUUUUAACAGAACACAAACUUAAGCCAGAUUGCCUAGGAUUGAACCUUGGCCUCUCACUUCCUAGACGAGUGGCCUUGGCUAGUUAACCACCUUCGUGAGCCUCAGUUUUGUCAUCUGUAAAAUGGGAGUCAUAAGUGUCUACCUCACAGAGCUGUGAUUGAAAGGAUAAAUAGCACCUUGCACAUAGCGGUGUAGAAGUGCUUGUUAUUGUUAAUAUUUUAUUUACCUUCACGCAGCCUACAGUGGCGGAAGUGGAGUAAGACAUCAUGUUGCCUCAAGUUUAAUUGGAAAUCGCGUGCCUUGUGAAGAAUGGACACUCAGUAGAUGCUUAUUGAUGAACCUGUUGGUUGAGGAUAACUCGCUAACUUUUCUGAGCUUUGUUGGAAAAACUAGACAGGGGUCUCACUAUGUGAUGCAGGAUGAUCUCAAACUCCCUGGCCUCAAGCGAUCCUCCUGCCUUGGUCUCCUAAAGUGCUGGGAUUACAGCAGGUCACUGUAUCUCUAUGCAUUACAGAAAAUGGCUAGUUAAAAACUUGUCAAGAGAUGGGGUUUUACUAUGUUGGAGAAGCUGGUCUCAAACUCCUGGGCUCAAGUCAUCCUCCCGCCUCAGCCUCCCAAAGUGCUGAGAUUACAGACACCCAAACACACUUGGAGGUCAUGUUCAAUAUGAAUACCUCACAGAGAAGGAAAUUUACACACAAGAAGUACAUCUGCAGAAAGCCAGCUGGCAUGUCAACCAUUCAAAAACUCAGGAAGUUCGGGAUAAAGAAGACUCAGGAAGACAAGUAUGAAGCAUAAUCUGCGACGUUCCAUGCGGCAGACGUUAGACACAUACAAGAGAGUUGUUGAAAAGUGGAAUUUAUCUUCAUAUAAACAACACUGAGCUAAAUCUCAAUAUUUCAGAUCUCUAGAACUAUCCAUCAAUGAAAUGGAUUGCAAAUAGAAAGAGUAAUACCAUGUCACUUAAGAAUACAAUCAUGGACGAUGCUGCCACCUGCUGUUGGGGGCCACUGCAGAAGAAAUUCCAGAACACUGGACUGGAGAGCACCUCACUUUCCUUACAGCUCUAAGUUUCUGACUCAGUGACCUGAUUCAGUACCAUAUACACAAAGACCCACUUACACAAAUGACUGUUCUUCACACUAGGCCCAUGGAGACAGGGAUAAAAUUCUGAAUUUGCUCAGAUACCUUCUCUGCUAUUGACAUCUAGGCAUUACACAAUUCAUCUCUUCAUACUUAACCUUUGAAGUUUGCUACUUCUCAGAGAGACUAAUGAGUAGUGAGCAAAUAUCCUGAAGCUGAGAAUGCUUCUACCUCCUCUCAAAACAACAGAAUAUUCAUCAAAACACAGCAGUUCUGCACUUAACUUUAGGCCUUUUCUAACACCUCAUUUCUUGGCAGUAACUGUGGCCAGAAUAGCUCUUUCCACAGAGAAAGGACCUUUUGAAAGGAUAGGGUCUCUAGAUAGAAAAGCAAAUGCCUCAUUCCAGAAGGUCUUCAAGAAGAAAAUGUUGUGGUGAUAACAAACAUAACUGAUUAUAAUCUAUUCUGUGAAAAAAGCUUAUGAAACAGUAGAUGUGUGUAUCUAGUACAUAAGAGCUGAAUGUCAAUAUAUAUAUAUAUAUAGAUAUAUACACACACUCAAAUAAAUAAUAGUUAUCUCUAACUAGAGAAAUUCUAGUUGCCUUAUAUUUUCUUCUUUUUCCUUACUAUAUUUUCUACAAUAAACAUGUGUUUUUAACAAGAAAA
This 2016-nucleotide long non-coding RNA is filed under the name Homo sapiens (human). RNAcentral's name for it is "PREDICTED lncRNA (TCONS_00208024)". The record is from RNAcentral. Lineage: Eukaryota; Metazoa; Chordata; Mammalia; Primates; Hominidae.